ACGGGAGGCAGCAGUGGGGAAUAUUGGGCAAUGGGCGCAAGCCUGACCCAGCAACGCCGCGUGAAGGAUGAAGGUCUUCGGAUUGUAAACUUCUUUACUCGGGGAAGAGGGAAAUGAGCUACCCGAGGAAUAAGCCACGGCUAACUACGUGCCAGCAGCCGCGGUAAUACGUAGGUGGCAAGCGUUAUCCGGAUUUACUGGGUGUAAAGGGCGCGUAGGCGGCUCUGUAAGUCAGAAGUGAAAUUCCCGAGCUCAACUUGGGCGUUGCUUUUGAAACUACAGAACUUGAGUACUGGAGGGGAAAGCGGAAUUCCUAGUGUAGCGGUAAAAUGCGCAGAAAUUAGGAGGAACACCGGUGGCGAAGGCGGCUUUCUGGACAGUAACUGACGCUGAGGCGCGAAAGCGUGGGGAGCAAACAGGAUUAGAUACCCUGGUA
RNAcentral lists this ribosomal RNA (436 nucleotides) under uncultured Saccharofermentans sp. Its description in RNAcentral is "partial 16S ribosomal RNA". It matches the Rfam family "Bacterial small subunit ribosomal RNA", at positions 341 to 792 of the family's 1533-position model. Lineage: Bacteria; Bacillati; Bacillota; Clostridia; Eubacteriales; Oscillospiraceae. The record is from RNAcentral.